This 287-nucleotide ribosomal RNA is filed under the name Propionibacterium sp. HMSC069G10. RNAcentral's name for it is "partial 16S ribosomal RNA". It matches the Rfam family "Bacterial small subunit ribosomal RNA", at positions 1 to 283 of the family's 1533-position model. The record is from RNAcentral. Lineage: Bacteria; Bacillati; Actinomycetota; Actinomycetes; Propionibacteriales; Propionibacteriaceae.
UUUUCAUUGGAGAGUUUGAUCCUGGCUCAGGACGAACGCUGGCGGCGUGCUUAACACAUGCAAGUCGAACGGAAAGGCCCUGCUUUUGUGGGGUGCUCGAGUGGCGAACGGGUGAGUAACACGUGAGUAACCUGCCCUUGACUUUGGGAUAACUUCAGGAAACUGGGGCUAAUACCGGAUAGGAGCUCCUGCUGCAUGGUGGGGGUUGGAAAGUUUCGGCGGUUGGGGAUGGACUCGCGGCUUAUCAGCUUGUUGGUGGGGUAGUGGCUUACCAAGGCUUUGACGGG